UACUUCCGUAGUUGAGAUUUUCGAUUCAUCACUAUUCUAAAUCUAAAACGUUAAAGAUUCUUGAAGUCGAACUAGCUAAUUGAAUAAAUAAGCAUAUUCCUGAGGUCCAAUCUCGAGUAUUGAAUAAAUGAGUUCCCCUGAUCAAGUCAAGCAUCUCACAGAGCUGAUGAAAUAUUUGGAAGAACAGAUACGAGUUAUGGAACCUGUUAUUGAAGUUAUGAAAAAUGCUGUAGAGAAAAGUAGGACUUGGGUAGAGGAUGAAAA
Physella acuta is the source of this 264-nucleotide long non-coding RNA. RefSeq lists it as uncharacterized. The record is from RefSeq and is a predicted model, not a curated record. Lineage: Eukaryota; Metazoa; Mollusca; Gastropoda; Physidae.